RNAcentral lists this long non-coding RNA (547 nucleotides) under Malus domestica (apple). Its description in RNAcentral is "long non-coding RNA (MDOM_LNC006683)". The record is from RNAcentral. Lineage: Eukaryota; Viridiplantae; Streptophyta; Magnoliopsida; Rosales; Rosaceae.
UUUCUGGUUUGAACUUGCUUAGAAACCUGUAUUUUUUCCUGCUUUGUUUUCUGUUUGGUUCUGCUUCUGGUUCGGUUAUUCAACUUUUAGAUAGGAUUGAAAGAUUUGUUUUUUAAUUAUUAAAUUGGAACAGAAAAAUAGAUAUUUUGUGCUGCCUUCUUCACUGCCUGAUAAAACCACUUCCUCCUCAUUUCUCUUUUUCUUCCUAUUGUGUUGGUCUUUCAGUGUCAUAGCUUCUCUGCUGAAAUCAAACUGUAUGCAUUUUGCCCCUUUUUUUUCAUUACCCUAUUAUUUGUUGUUGUCCUCACCCUGUGAAUCGAAUGCUGAGUUUUUUUACCCUAUUAUUUGUUUUUGUUCAUUCACAUAUGAUGCACUGUUAAUCGUUUCCUAACAAAUAUGUUUAUAUAUGUUUAUAUAUGUUAUUUUCUGUUUGGUUUGAUUCACAGGGAUAGCUUUUUUAUGGUUGUUGUUGUUAGAAAUAAAUUUAAUUUUUUAUGCCUUUGAAGAAACCCUGUGAAUCAAAGGCUCAGCUUUUUUAUGCUUUUUU